CUAUCAAGCCAUAGAAUCGCUGCUGUAUGCAUAGCAGGAGUGUAGGCCUCCCUACCGUGCACUACCAGUGUUCCUCAAUUCUGAUCUGGAGGGACCACACCUAGGGGUGAGAG
Molecule: unclassified non-coding RNA, 113 nt
Organism: Chelonoidis abingdonii (Abingdon island giant tortoise)
Lineage: Eukaryota; Metazoa; Chordata; Testudines; Testudinidae
Source: Ensembl